This is a long non-coding RNA of Carassius carassius (crucian carp), 1633 nucleotides long. RefSeq lists it as uncharacterized. Lineage: Eukaryota; Metazoa; Chordata; Actinopteri; Cypriniformes; Cyprinidae. The record is from RefSeq and is a predicted model, not a curated record. The transcript has 2 exons.
AAAACCUAAAGUUGGACACUUCGUCCACUAUGUUGUUGCAUCUUUUUUUGCGCAGCGAAGGGGGAGGGGCUAUCAGACUCUGAUUAUUUAAUGACAAAAUAAACGUAUAUAGUUCAUACAUUACAUGAGUGAGUACAUAGUGUAUAGUGCAUCAUUUGGGACGCAGCUGUAGAUAUAUAAAUAGGUAGAUGCUCCAGAAGCGUCACGCACAAAAACAAUCAAUGGGUUUCAAAAUCCAACACCAUUGCUUAGCCUGUGAAUGUCAAAACAGCCAAAACUUUAAUUCCUGAAGAAAUUGGAUAAACUUUCACAGGUAAUAGUGUGUCAGUUUGUGUUUUUAAUACUGUAUGAACUCAUUAUUACAGGUUUUUAAACUACAGAACCUUUUAAGCAUCAUGUUAGCCUACAGCUUCGACUUCUUGUAUUCUGUUAAUUUAGCAAAAUCAUCUGCUUAAGUCUAUUGCACACAGAUACAGAUAUUCUCACAUGCGUACAACUACAGUUGCAAUGCACAGACAACUUGCUCUCAGUUUCUACUGACGCUAACAGGGCAUCUACCUAUACAUAUCUAUGGAUUAUUUCAAUAAUAACUUUGCAUCACACAUAGUAUUGAAUGCACAUUCAUUUUUACAGUUUCUUCUGUUUAAAUCAGAAAAACAAAAUGUAGCACCAUAACACUUAGAGCAGCUGUACAUGUGUUUGUCUAAUUCUUUUUUUAAUCUAAAUUCUCACGUAAUACAGCUCAAAACUAUUUAAUUUCUUUGAUUUUGAAGACCAGAACUAAGAAUAGGAAAUAUAGAAAUACAUAAUGUAGCAUAAAUCGAGGUCAUCCGUGUGGCUUUGUAAUGUUCUGAAGGUACAAAGUUUGUUUUUCACAUCACAUUAUUUUUAUUUUAAUUGGACCGUGUGAGCUGAUGAUUUGUUUUAUGUAUAUCUAUUCACUGUAUAUCCAUGAAUUGUGAUUCUUAGUGAUGAAUCUGUUGUUAAAAAGCUUACAUUGAGAGGCUCUCUAUAGACACGACGCACCACUCCACAGCUAGAGGCUAAAUCUACAAUAUAAGCAAUGAAAUGCCUGAGAUUUAAGAUAUUUGAAGAUGAAAUGCUUUGAAGCGCUUCACGUGCACGGCCUGGCUCUUGUUGAAACUGAAUCAUGCAGUUAGCUGGUGUGCCAAAGCUGUAAACCUUCAUGGAGUCUUCUCUCUGUAUUAUACAGAAAUUUAAUGUAAUGCAAAACUAAAUAAAUCUUUAUUCAUUAAGAGAGAGCAGAUGGAUGGGAUGUUUUCUUCUUCAGCAGUCGACCCAAACACAGGACGGUCAGCUGCGUGAGUCGAGCUGAUAAAUAAGCUCAUAUGUUUUCCAUGUGCUUUAAUGUGAUGAGAGGAAACUCUGGUGCCAAAACGAUCAUGUGACGGUGGACAGACGUCCGUCUGAGAGGACCUCUUGGUGUUUCUGUUUGUUCUCGUUCUUCUAAUUGAUAAUCACAACUGAGUUUGGUUUUGUAUUCUGUGGAAGUAGUUGGAGAAAAAAAAACUAUUAGAGACUGGAUGUUUUUUAUACAUAUGACUAUAAUAUACAACAUGCAUAAAUUAAAAGAUGUCUGUUCCACAUCAGUACAAUAAACAGAGAGAACCAA